RNAcentral lists this microRNA precursor (123 nucleotides) under Cajanus cajan (pigeon pea). RNAcentral describes it as "miRNA gene-KK1_039606". The record is from RNAcentral. Lineage: Eukaryota; Viridiplantae; Streptophyta; Magnoliopsida; Fabales; Fabaceae.
UAUUUAAAUCAAUUGUUAUACAAUUGAUUUAGAAAAAGGAUUUUCUAAAUCGAUUAUCCUAAUAAUCGAUUUAGAAAGCCUUUUUCUAAAGAUUUGGAAAGGUGGUCUAACAUUCACUUUCAA